CUUAUCCCCUCUCGGGAGUGUAAUUAAUCUGGUAGGUUUUCUUUGUUGGUUUGGUGUAAUGCAGUUUUGUGGAGGUGGUUCAUUUGGCACUACAGUGGACUCUGUUGGUUUGGUGUAAUGCAGUUUUGUGGUGGUGGUUCAUUUGACACUACAGUGGACUCGGGAUGGAGUGGUGGACAGAUGAUUCCGACUCAUGAAUACAAUGAAGUUUGAAGGAUUCAUGUCGUGUCGUAGAGGAAUAGGAAGUGUUGUCCAAGAUCCAGAAAGUUUGGUGCGCAAGAAUAAAAAGUUUUAUUAUAGUUUAAGCCAUUACACACUACGUGGUAAUAACCUACCUCAUUUUGUUCUUCUCACUAUUCACAUCAUUUCUAAUGAUUACACUACUUGUCGGAAAUUAAUAAUAACGCCACAAUAGGCCUGGGAAUGCACAGCGCUCUCAAGUUUUUAUAUAAAUGGUGUAUUGUUGCCUGAACUUCAGUUGUUUAAUGCUUUGAAUUGUGGGUAGCUGCUGGAUAGGAUCACUGUGUCUAUAAUUCCUCGGGCCAAUCACGUGCUACCACCACUUAACACCACGAGUUGCACCAAUAGGAAGUCUCUAUAAGUACCCAUAAGCUGCGCGGGCAGGUGUGUGCACACCGCUUCCGGUCACUUCCGCCAUGGCUAUUGUUGACGUUACUUGUGCUGGUUGCAAAUUUGAUUAUUGGCUCUUCAUCGCUACGUUUCACCGCAAAGACGACUUGUGCUACCAGUUCUUGAGGGAACACGGCGUUUUACCCACUGCAGUCGAGUCUCCCGAGUGCCACACGCCGUGUAAGCUGCGCAGUGACAGGCGUGUGUGGUAUUGCGGCCGGUACCGCAAGCUGCAGAAAAAGAAGCGCAGUAAGCAGUUUAACUUCAGCGUUUCUGACUUUAAAGGGACUUUCCUGGAAGGAACGCAUCUUCCUGCGUGGCAGCUGGUGCUAUUUUGUAAUCACUGGCUGCAAAAGCAGUGGGACCACGCUACUGUAUUCGAGUGUCUCCAGUGGUCUCCUAACACUAGUGUCGACUGGCGGAGUUUCUGUUCAGAGGUGACUCUCGACUGGCUGAAAAACCAGCAGCCAAUUGGUGGUGACGGUGUAAUUGUAGAGAUUGACGAGACCUAUUUUGUGAAAAGAAAGAACAACAAAGGUCGCAAUCUCAGUAGUGUGUGGCUGUUUGGGGGAAUCGAGCGUGUCACAAUCGAGCGUGUCACUAAAAAAGUUCAUCGUCCCCUUACUUGGAAAGCAGCGAGACAGAAGUGCGGCAACACUGAUUUAUAUCAUAAAGAAAUGCAUUUUGCCAGGAAGUACAAUCGUAAGUGACGGAUGGAAAGCCUACGAGUUGCUGGGAAACGAAGGCUUCACUCACUGGGUCGUGAACCACUCUCAGCACUUUGUGGACCCUUCAGACGCUCGUGUACAUACCCAGAACAUUGAGAGGCUCUGGAGGGACCUAAAAGAGUGGACCAAGCGACCUGGUAUGCUGAGUGAGUACUUCGAACAGUACUUCUCUCGCUACCUUUUCCUUAAGGAAAAGUACGAAGACCGUCACCACCAAUUCUUUCUUGCUGCUGGUAGAUUGUACAAGCCUCAGUCGACACGCCAGCGCCCUCUGCCCGCCUUUGCUGACACUGCCUGUGAUACUCAUGGGGAGGAUGACCGACAGCCAGGACCUUCGUCGUCUAAGAAUUGUGUAGGGCGACGUAGCUGCCGGGAUUACAUGGAGGCCAGAGCGGUUGGACGCCGAUCCCGGUGCAUCUACGGCAGCACUAGUGGAAACAUUGGUUACGAGAAAUUCUCAGAAAUAUAUCAAAUAGUUGAGGGCUCUUGAGAGCCACUGUCUUCCAGAAUCUGAGACUAUUUUGGAUUGUGCUAUAUACCCAGAUGUUGAGUUCUUGAUUCGACGCAGAUGCUCGAGUAUAAGGUUCGGCACAGAUGGUGCUUCAUCCACAUGCGUGCUCGGUGCGUCUUUGAAAAGAGAUAAGAGCGACAGAGGGUAAUGGGGUAAUGGGUAAUGGCUGUUGCGAGUGAAAUGCUUUUGUGGUCUGUCCAAGCAUACAUGAUUCAAGCGUCCUGCUCGUGACGCAAUCGGCAAUAAGUAUCGGAAGAAUGUACCUAUAUUACGCUCAAGCGUGUCGGGUUGCCACCACACAUUAGGUGCACAAAGAACGAAGAUUUUCUGUUCAAAGGACGAAAUUUCUUAUUUCCAUCUAAGAAAAUAAUGCAUAAAGGCCAGAAAUCUGUUAUUGGGAUUCAUUUUUGGUUGUUAAAAGAAGAGGGCCCUAACCAAGUUAUAUUUGACGCUGGCGUGUGUAGAUUGUGUAACUAUAGUCCCCAUAAUAUAGGAAGGAUAGGUCCAUUAGAAUCUGUAUAAAUGAGGGGACGAAGGGUAUCUCUAAUGAAAGAAUGCUGAAGCUUUUCAAAGAGAUAACGAAAAAAAAAAUUGGUAUUAGAAUCUGAUUAAAUGAGGGGACGAAGGGCAUCUCUAAUGAAAGAAUGCUGAAGCUUUUCUAAGAGAUAACGAAAAAACGAAAAAAAAAUUGGUACAAGUCCUAAGUACUUAGAGAGCUUAAGACUUCAUAUUAUCCAAAUAUAUGGAUGUUGAUAGGUGGAAAUAGGUAUGUUUCACACAGGAACUGCCAUGUAUAGGCCUGAUUUCUUAGCUUCCCGUAUAUUCACAUGUUCUUGUAGGAAAUAGUGUCCCUGAAACACUGCGCCUCCCCGAUUGACCAAUUAGCGCUGAGGGUGGCACUGAGAGCGGAGGCGAGCACAAAGGACGGAAUCAGUGAUGUGGAUGACGCUACGCUCAAAACGCCCUUGAAGCAGAGAUGCCCGAUGAAUCCAAGAUGAGGUAGUACGGUGUUGGAAAGGGCCUGCUGUGUUAAACGCCCUCCCACUAGCUACGAAGCAACGUAAUAAAGAUCGCCCGUACUGCUCUGCCAAACCAAGAGGAUUCGUGUUUGUCCCGUCCUUUAAGAGUCCUUCUGAAGCUCUCCCACUGAUGUGUUUGGGCGAGCUGUGAGCGAGCGGGCGUGAGGUGCGACGGGUCCCCGUGAAGACGUACCUUGCCUGAGCUGUGAGCUGCAAGCGAGGCGUGCUGGUGUCCGGAUCUACACUGUUCUCAUGUUCUCACCAUUAGUUUGUACAAUAAUGCUCCCAGGAGCCUCAUUUCAGAUUCAUAUUCCGUAUCAAAAGGAAAUGCUUUGUUGUAUGGAACUAGUUCUAUGAUGAUAUCUGUAUGGUGUUUUGUAUUGUUACCGAUUUCAGUAUGGUUUGGUGUAUCAGCAUCACAUCAGGCGUGCAAUGUGACCUUUUACCUACAGCGCGCACACAUCCACAGUAUGUUGUUGACUACAGCUGCUCAAAACAUCCUCGUAUAGGUAAUAUCCAUGACAGGGCAUACAUGUAAAUUCAGAGCAAGGUGUUUUAUUUAAGGUUUAAAUUUUUUUCAUGAAUUGUUGCAGGUGCUGCCACUACUUAAGAGAGAACCAAAUCAGUGUGUCCUGCCAACAAUUCCAAUUCCAUCUUGCUGCAGGAAACUGGUUUCAUGUUGCACUGGGAGAUGAGAUGCCAUCUGCUUCGCUUCACCUUCCAGGGAGAGACUUGCCUCACACCUCCACUAUUUCCUGUUAAUGCAUGCUGCCGUCUGUUAUCCCUUCCGUGUCCUGCCUCACACCACUUCUUUCUUAUCAAUACAUGCUGCUGUUUAUUACCUCUUUCUCAUGUGAAUAUAAUUACCUGUGGUGCCAAUACUGUAUAAUAAAUUAUAAAAUCAAA
Molecule: long non-coding RNA, 3794 nt
Organism: Scylla paramamosain (green mud crab)
Lineage: Eukaryota; Metazoa; Arthropoda; Malacostraca; Decapoda; Portunidae
Exons: 2
Source: RefSeq, a predicted model, not a curated record